Molecule: ribosomal RNA, 492 nt
Filed under: uncultured bacterium
Lineage: Bacteria
Description: partial 16S ribosomal RNA
Rfam family: Bacterial small subunit ribosomal RNA
Source: RNAcentral
AGUGAACGCUGGCGGUAGGCCUAACACAUGCAAGUCGAACGGCAGCACAGUAAGAGCUUGCUCUUACGGGUGGCGAGUGGAGGACGGGUGAGGAAUACAUCGGAAUCUACUUUUUCGUGGGGGAUAACGUAGGGAAACUUACGCUAAUACCGCAUACGACCUACGGGUGAAAGCAGGGGAUCUUCGGACCUUGCGCGAUUGAAUGAGCCGAUGUCGGAUUAGCUAGUUGGCGGGGUAAAGGCCCACCAAGGCGACGAUCCGUAGCUGGUCUGAGAGGAUGAUCAGCCACACUGGAACUGAGACACGGUCCAGACUCCUACGGGAGGCAGCAGUGGGGAAUAUUGGACAAUGGGCGCAAGCCUGAUCCAGCCAUACCGCGUGGGUGAAGAAGGCCUUCGGAUUGUAAAGCCCUUUUGUUGGGAAAGAAAAGCAGCAGGUUAAUACCCCGCUGUUCUGACGGUACCCAAAGAAUAAGCACCGGCUAACUUCGUG